Molecule: ribosomal RNA, 253 nt
Filed under: uncultured bacterium
Lineage: Bacteria
Description: partial 16S ribosomal RNA
Rfam family: Bacterial small subunit ribosomal RNA
Source: RNAcentral
UACAGAGGUCUCAAGCGUUGUUCGGAUUCAUUGGGCGUAAAGGGUGCGUAGGUGGCGCGCUAAGUCAGGUGUGAAAUUUCGGAGCUUAACUCCGAAACUGCAUUUGAUACUGGCGUGCUUGAGGACUGGAGAGGAGACUGGAAUUCAUGGUGUAGCAGUGAAAUGCGUAGAGAUCAUGAGGAAGACCAGUGGCGAAGGCGGGUCUCUGGGCCGAUACUGACGCUCAGGAGCGAAAGCGUGGGGAGCGAUCCGG